UACGAAGGGUGCAAGCGUUGUUCGGAAUUAUUGGGCGUAAAGCGCGCGCAGGCGGAUGAAUGUGUCAGAUGUGAAAUUACGGGGCUCAACCCCGCUAGUGCGUCUGAAACUGUUCAUCUAGAAUGUCGGAGGGGGUAGGGGAAUUUCACGUGUAGGGGUAAAAUCCGUAGAGAUGUGAAGGAACACCUGGGGCGAAGGCGCCUACCUGGACGAUUAUUGACGCUGAGGCGCGAAAGCGUGGGGAGCAAACAGG
This 253-nucleotide ribosomal RNA is filed under the name uncultured bacterium. Its description in RNAcentral is "partial 16S ribosomal RNA". It matches the Rfam family "Bacterial small subunit ribosomal RNA", at positions 524 to 776 of the family's 1533-position model. The record is from RNAcentral.